GACGAACGCUGGCGGCGUGCUUAACACAUGCAAGUCGAACGGAAAGGCCCCUUUGGGGGUACUCGAGUGGCGAACGGGUGCGUAACACGUGAGUAACCUGCCCUUGACUUCGGGAUAACUUCAGGAAACUGGGGCUAAUACCGGAUAGGAAUCCUUGCUGCAUGGUGGGGGUUUGAAAGCUUCGGCGGUUUUGGAUGGACUCGCGGCUUAUCAGCUUGUUGGUGGGGUAGUGGCUUACCAAGGCUUUGACGGGUAGCCGGCCUGAGAGGGCGACCGGCCACAUUGGGACUGAGAUACGGCCCAGACUCCUACGGGAGGCAGCAGUGGGGAAUAUUGCACAAGGGGCGGAAGCCUGAUGCAGCAACGCCGCGUGCGGGAUGACGGCCUUCGGGUUGUAAACCGCUUUCAGCAGGGGCGAAGCUUGUGGUGACGGUACCUGCAGAAGAAGCACCGGCUAACUACGUG
RNAcentral lists this ribosomal RNA (465 nucleotides) under uncultured bacterium. RNAcentral's name for it is "partial 16S ribosomal RNA". It matches the Rfam family "Bacterial small subunit ribosomal RNA", at positions 28 to 507 of the family's 1533-position model. The record is from RNAcentral.